AUCUGUGAGUAGAGACGGAGCCAGAUUAAGAGUGCCCAGAGCCCUUGGCUAUGUUUCUGUAAGUGAUGUGGUUCAUGAGUUUGUGUGUGUGCUGCUGAGAGUUGUAUGUGUAGUAGCUGAAUUGUGUGUGUGUAUUGAGCAUUGUGUGUAUGCUCUCUGCCCCCCCUCCUGCUUAUGUUCCAUUGUGUUCCAAUGAAGUGUGAUGUCUGGUGG
This is a non-coding RNA of Pelobates cultripes (western spadefoot toad), 213 nucleotides long. The record is from the annotation of a GenBank genome assembly. Lineage: Eukaryota; Metazoa; Chordata; Amphibia; Anura; Pelobatidae.